RNAcentral lists this ribosomal RNA (661 nucleotides) under uncultured bacterium. RNAcentral describes it as "bacterial SSU rRNA". It matches the Rfam family "Bacterial small subunit ribosomal RNA", at positions 61 to 719 of the family's 1533-position model. The record is from RNAcentral.
GUCGAGCGGCAGCGCGGGGCAACCUGGCGGCGAGCGGCGAACGGGUGUGUAACAUAUCGGAACGUGUCCUUUAGUGGGGGAUAACUACUCGAAAGAGUAGCCAAUACCGCAUACGAUCGGGAGAUGAAAGCGGGGGAUCGCAAGACCUCGCGCUAAAGGAGUGGCCGAUAUCAGAUUAGCUAGUUGGUGAGGUAAAGGCUCACCAAGGCGACGAUCUGUAGCUGGUCUGAGAGGAUGAUCAGCCACACUGGAACUGAGACACGGUCCAGACUCCUACGGGAGGCAGCAGUGGGGAAUUUUGGACAAUGGGGGCAACCCUGAUCCAGCCAUUCCGCGUGAGUGAAGAAGGCCUUCGGGUUGUAAAGCUCUUUUGUCGGGGACGAAACGGUUACGAUUAAUACUCGUGACAACUGACGGUAUCCGAAGAAUAAGCACCGGCUAACUACGUGCCAGCAGCCGCGGUAAUACGUAGGGUGCGAGCGUUAAUCGGAAUUACUGGGCGUAAAGCGUGCGCAGGCGGUUUUGUAAGCCAGAUGUGAAAUCCCCGGGCUUAACCUGGGAAUGGCAUUUGGAACUGCAAGGCUAGAGUAUGGCAGAGGAGACUAGAAUUUCUGGUGUAGCAGUGAAAUGCGUAGAUAUCAGAAGGAAUACCGAUGGCGAA